Molecule: ribosomal RNA, 300 nt
Filed under: uncultured Methylocaldum sp.
Lineage: Bacteria; Pseudomonadati; Pseudomonadota; Gammaproteobacteria; Methylococcales; Methylococcaceae
Description: bacterial SSU rRNA
Rfam family: Bacterial small subunit ribosomal RNA
Source: RNAcentral
GCUAACUCCGUGCCAGCAGCCGCGGUAAUACGGAGGGUGCAAGCGUUAAUCGGAAUUACUGGGCGUAAAGCGCGCGUAGGCGGUUUGUUAAGCGAGAUGUGAAAGCCCCGGGCUUAACCUGGGAAUUGCAUUUCGAACUGGCAAGCUAGAGUGUAGAAGAGGGGUGUGGAAUUUCCGGUGUAGCGGUGAAAUGCGUAGAGAUCGGAAGGAACACCAGUGGCGAAGGCGACACCCUGGUCUAACACUGACGCUGAGGUGCGAAAGCGUGGGUAGCAAACAGGAUUAGAUACCCUGGUAGUC